RNAcentral lists this ribosomal RNA (497 nucleotides) under uncultured bacterium. RNAcentral describes it as "partial 16S ribosomal RNA". It matches the Rfam family "Bacterial small subunit ribosomal RNA", at positions 28 to 507 of the family's 1533-position model. The record is from RNAcentral.
GACGAACGCUGGCGGCGUGCCUAAUACAUGCAAGUAGAACGCUGAAGCUUGGUGCUUGCCCCGAGCGGAUGAGUUGCGAACGGGUGAGUAACGCGCAGGUAACCUGCCUGGUAGCGGGGGAUAACUAUUGGAAACGAUAGCUAAUACCGCAUAAGAGUAGAUGUUGCAUGACAUUUGCUUAAAAGGUGCAAUUGCAUCACUACCAGAUGGACCUGCGUUGUAUUAGCUAGUUGGUGAGGUAACGGCUCACCAAGGCAACGAUACAUAGCCGACCUGAGAGGGUGAUCGGCCACACUGGGACUGAGACACGGCCCAGACUCCUACGGGAGGCAGCAGUAGGGAAUCUUCGGCAAUGGACGGAAGUCUGACCGAGCAACGCCGCGUGAGUGAAGAAGGUUUUCGGAUCGUAAAGCUCUGUUGUAAGAGAAGAACGAGUGUGAGAGUGGAAAGUUCACACUGUGACGGUAUCUUACCAGAAAGGGACGGCUAACUACGUG